RNAcentral lists this unclassified non-coding RNA (850 nucleotides) under Hevea brasiliensis (rubber tree). The record is from RNAcentral. Lineage: Eukaryota; Viridiplantae; Streptophyta; Magnoliopsida; Malpighiales; Euphorbiaceae.
CUUGAAGCGCCUUAGGCAACAAAAAGAGGGUCAGGAUGGGGUUGAUUUAGAGAUGAACCUUAAUGGUAGUAGAUCUAGCAUAGAUGACGAAACUUUGGAUGACAUGGUGUUUACUGAGCGUCAAAUGGCCAAGCUGAAAAAGAGUGAGGCAUUCACAGCAGAAAGAGAAAGAGAGAUCCAGCAGGUUGUGGAAUCAGUAAAUGAGCUUGCUCAAAUUAUGAAGGACUUGUCAGUGCUUGUAAUAGACCAGGGUACCAUUGUUGAUAGGAUAGAUUACAACAUUCAGAAUGUUGCAACUACAGUUGAGGAGGGUCUUAAACAGUUGCAAAAGGCUGAGAGAACACAAAAACAAGGAGGGAUGGUGAUGUGUGCAACGGUGCUUGUUAUCAUGUGCUUUAUCAUGUUGGUCCUACUAAUCCUCAAGGAGAUAUUCUUGUGAUUUGUUAGAAAUUUCCAAAAUUCGCUCAUUCUUAUCUUGUGCCAUCCCCUGCAACUUUUACACGCUCAUUGAUGGAGAUUUGUCUUGUGUGGCAGAGGAAUGCUAGAGCUUUAAAAUUGCCCCAUUUCAUACCAGAUUAAUCAACUUCCAACUUUUCUUUUUAAUCAAAAUUUCUUAACGGGGAAAGGGCCUUUACUAGGGAAUGAAUGCCCUGGAAAGUGUAUAGAGCUGAUACUGGAUCUGGUUCUUUUGUCGCAGACCCAUCAUUGAUUCUUUUGAUUUUCCUGGGGAGUCUGGUGUCUUGUUUUCACCAAUGCUUCUGUUUACAAGGAAAUGAGGCUUUUUUGAUUGAUUGUAUCGAUUUUUAAAUUAGAUAUAAAAAUGAAAUGCUUCCGAGUAUACUUUUCUCUA